RNAcentral lists this ribosomal RNA (546 nucleotides) under uncultured bacterium. RNAcentral's name for it is "bacterial SSU rRNA". It matches the Rfam family "Bacterial small subunit ribosomal RNA", at positions 59 to 653 of the family's 1533-position model. The record is from RNAcentral.
AAGUCGAACGCCCCGCAAGGGGAGUGGCAGACGGGUGAGUAACACGUGGGAACCUUCCUAGUGGUACGGAAUAGCUCCGGGAAACUGGAAUUAAUACCGUAUACGCCCUAAGGGGGAAAGAUUUAUCGCCAUUAGAUGGGCCCGCGUCUGAUUAGCUAGUUGGUGAGGUAAUGGCUCACCAAGGCGACGAUCAGUAGCUGGUCUUAGAGGAUGAUCAGCCACACUGGGACUGAGACACGGCCCAGACUCCUACGGGAGGCAGCAGUGGGGAAUAUUGGACAAUGGGCGCAAGCCUGAUCCAGCCAUGCCGCGUGAGUGAUGAAGGCCUUAGGGUUGUAAAGCUCUUUUAGCAGGGACGAUAAUGACGGUACCUGCAGAAUAAGCCCCGGCUAACUUCGUGCCAGCAGCCGCGGUAAUACGAAGGGGGCUAGCGUUGUUCGGAAUUACUGGGCGUAAAGCGCACGUAGGCGGAUUAGUAAGUCAGGGGUGAAAUCCCGGGGCUCAACCUCGGAACUGCCUUUGAUACUGCUGAUCUCGAGUCCGGAA